CGGCGUGCUUGUGACCACAAGAUCCCUCUAAUGCCAGGGGCGCAGCCUUUUAACAUCCGACCCUACAGGCACAAACCAGAGCACAAGGAUGAAAUAGAGAAGCAAGUUGAAGAACUCCUCCGCACGGGCAUUAUUCAGCGGAGCUCGAGUCCCUUCUCUUCUCCGGUGAUCCUAGUAAAGAAGAAAGACGGCACAUGGAGGUUAUGUGUGGAUUACCGUCGCUUGAAUGCUCUCACAUGUGUGGCUAAGUUUCCAAUACCAAUCAUCGAAGAGCUGCUUGACGAGUUACACGGUGCUCAAUGGUUCUCGAAGCUGGACCUCCGUGCUGGGUACCACCAAAUCAGGUUGGCAGAAGGGGAAGAGUACAAAACAACGUUUCAAACUCAUUCAGGGCACUUUGAAUUUCUGGUAGUCUCAUUUGGCCUCGCAGGCGGUCCAGCCACUUUCAAU
Molecule: ribosomal RNA, 450 nt
Filed under: Triticum aestivum (bread wheat)
Lineage: Eukaryota; Viridiplantae; Streptophyta; Magnoliopsida; Poales; Poaceae
Description: partial small subunit ribosomal RNA
Source: RNAcentral